RNAcentral lists this small RNA (840 nucleotides) under Pan troglodytes (chimpanzee). RNAcentral describes it as "processed transcript". Lineage: Eukaryota; Metazoa; Chordata; Mammalia; Primates; Hominidae. The record is from RNAcentral.
GCCCUGCUGCAUCAGAUGUGUAGGGACUUUGUUGUGACUGUGUGUUGAAUGCCACUAGUAACUGGAAGCUCUUGACAGCCUCCUUAAAAUGGACUUUGGCACCCAAAUAACGAAGGGGUACACUGUGCUUUUGUGUGUGUGUGGAUACCUGCUGUGUUUUUCCCUUUUCUCAGUGAAUUUGUAUUUAGAUUGUCGUUCUAGAAGAAAGUCUCGAUGUGAGCUUGUUAGGUUUUUUUGAAAUUACACUUUAAUAUUUGAUUACUUUUCGUUCAGAAGAUAUUCACAUUGUAAUUUUUCUGGGUGUCUGUCUAAUUACCUGAAUAGCACAACACCAUCUGGCAGCAGAUUUCAGCGGGAGCAGCCAUGGAAUCCCAGUGUUCCAAUGCAGAAGUUGCAGGAUAUCCAGAGAGCAAUGGAGCUGCUAUCCGCAUGCCAGGGCCCAGCCAGGAACAUUGACGAGGCUGCAAAGCACAGAUACCAGUUUUGGGACACACAACCGGUACCGAAACUAGAUGAAGUCAUAACAUCUCACGGUGCAAUUGAACCAGAUAAAGACAACGUACGCCAAGAACCGUAUUCUUUGCCACAGGGUUUUAUGUGGGACACUUUAGACUUGAGUGAUGCCGAAGUGCUCAAGGAGUUAUACACGUUGUUAAAUGAGAAUUACGUAGAAGAUGAUGACAAUAUGUUCCGAUUUGACUAUUCACCCGAGUUCCUGUUGUGGGCUCUGCGUCCACCAGGCUGGCUCCUGCAGUGGCACUGUGGGGUCAGAGUGUCUUCAAAUAAAAAACUGGUCGGGUUCAUAAGUGCCAUCCCAGCAAACAUUCGGAUUUAUGACAG